ACUCUAGUCUGGCACUGUGAAGAGACAUCAGAAGUGUAGAAUAAAUAGGAAGCCCCACAGUAGUGUAACUCAAGACAUGGAUCAGUUGCCAGUGAAAUACUACUGGCCAUUUUCUCCACUUACAGAGCGAGGCUGGGGGGAGAGAAGGGGGAGCCCCAAAGGGCUCUUGCAGCUGAUGCCAAGUGCCUGGCACAACCUGGUCCAGGGACAGUGUCAGGUGAGGAGUUUGACUGGGGCAAUACACCUGUCAACCUGUCACACAGAUGACCAAAGGCAAGCUCAGCUAGGACAGAAACCUCCUGCAGAGCAGAAGAUCAAGGCUUAGCCUUAUUUUUCAGUACAAAUAUUGUCCAUGAAAGAGGGGCCUCACAAUCCUUCUGACUAAAAGCCUUUUGGGUUUUAAGCAGGCAUCCAGGAG
RNAcentral lists this non-coding RNA (418 nucleotides) under Merops nubicus (carmine bee-eater). RNAcentral's name for it is "Eukaryotic large subunit ribosomal RNA". It matches the Rfam family "Eukaryotic large subunit ribosomal RNA", at positions 2425 to 2802 of the family's 3401-position model. Lineage: Eukaryota; Metazoa; Chordata; Aves; Coraciiformes; Meropidae. The record is from Rfam by way of RNAcentral.